Falco peregrinus (peregrine falcon) is the source of this 1097-nucleotide long non-coding RNA. RefSeq lists it as uncharacterized. The record is from RefSeq and is a predicted model, not a curated record. Lineage: Eukaryota; Metazoa; Chordata; Aves; Falconiformes; Falconidae. The transcript is spliced from 4 exons.
GUGGAAGGCUGGGGGGGGGUUCGCCCCGGUUCCCGCACCGGGGGGACUUGCUUUCUCCGCGCCUUGAGAAACGAGUUAAUCCCUGGGCAGCCGUACGGCGGAGGGGGUGACAGGCGGAACGUCCUCGGCAGCCGCGGGGGGAAAAGGACCAAAAGCAUCGCUUGGGCUGGAAGGACGCCUGCCGCUUGCUCUGCCUUCGCCUUCGGGUUUCAGCGCCCCCGUCCAUUAUAAGAAAAUCGGAGAAUGUGGCGUUCGGGUGGAGUUCCCAGCAGCCCCCCCGGUGCCGCCUGGUGCGCUGCCCCUGCCCACGGGCUUACCGGAGCUUCUCGGCGGUGGCCGCCCGCCGGCACCGGCCUGCCGAGCGGCAGCGGCGCAGUUUGUGAGCAGUGCUCGGUGCUGGGGGACGAACAGCUCGACUUAGCAAGCUCGUCAUGCUCCUUCCCUUUCUCUUGUUGUACAUUUCAGCAUUUCUUCUCCCUAUCCCUGCCUGUUUUGCCCAGAAGCUUGCGGAGCUCCGCACGCUCCCUCGCCCUCCCCGGGCUGGGCGGCGGCCGCCUAUGCCCUGCCCCGGCCGGGCACAGAAGCGCCGCUCGGAGCCGCAGGCAGCUGAACCAGGGAGGAAAAUUCGGUCGGACGAGGACUGAAAAACAUCAUUUUCCAUCAGGCGCAGACCCCCUCCCCGUGCCUCCGUCUUUGCUCAGAUUGCUUGUUGAACAAGCUCAGAAAAACGCAGCAGACCUCAGCUUUAUCCCUCGAUCUAUAUAAAUGCAACGUCGCAUAAUUGUUCACAAAACAGCAUAAGAACAAUAACAAUCGAAGAGAAUGCAAUGGAGGAGUUAGUCUGGAUUAACAAACUACUUCCCGGGAUUUGUAUCAACUUCUGGAGACUCCCGAGUCCAGAUGAUGGGGACGGAAACAACUCCGCAUCACUCAGAACAGGUCGGACCCGGUAUUUCAAGGGGAGAGGCCCGUUCUGCAAGGCAAAGGCAAAACCCUGAUACAUAUACCUAUGCAUUUUUCUCAGCUACAAACCUGCCCCGAAGAUGUUUGUGUGUGUUACAUUUCCCCUGGAGUAAAGGAAAGUUAUUUACCUCUUC